Long non-coding RNA from Equus caballus (horse), 5375 nucleotides. The record is from Ensembl. Lineage: Eukaryota; Metazoa; Chordata; Mammalia; Perissodactyla; Equidae.
GGUUGUCAUAGAACAAUAAAAAUAGUUAGGAAAAAAAUGAGAGAAUCUUACUUUAAAUGUCGUUUUUAUAGGUUUUUCCCGUCCAACCUUGCCAUAUGUUAGCUGCUAAAUACCAGGUUAAAUCCGUGCUUUCCUGGAAAAGCUUCUAAUCUGCUUCGUGAUCUUCUGAAAGGUCAUACUGAAACCCUAAACCCCUUGGGCCUCCAACAUUGUCCUUCAGUAUCCAGCCCGUACAGGUAGACCGGUCUUUGAGAGCACAGCCAAAGAGAAAACAGGAAAAGGGGCACAACUGCCCUUCCCAAAUCAGGCAAACAGAUCUUGUGUAGCUCUUUUUUCCUCUUUUCUUCAUCAUUUGCAUAAUUGCAGUACUCUUCUGAAUCACUUUGCCAGUGAAGACUUGGCUGCUAGCCCUGUAAAUUGCUUUCACAUAAAUCUGGAAGUCAAGAAGUAAGGCAUGUUGUGCCAAUUAGCCUAAAAUCCAACCUAAUUCACCAUUGGACCAGAAGAGGACUUUCUGAAGACACAUAAAAUCAGUGCCUUGUACUUUAGUAUCCCGUCCCUAAAGAAAAGUUUGGUUUACUGUCUUCUUUCCAGCUGAGAUAGAAAUGAAGGCUUAACAUUCUCAUUCAAGGUCACUGGCUGUGUUGUCCUCUUGCGGUAGUUGCAAAAUACACUGGGGUGAGGGCAGGUGGUGAAAGAUGAGGAGAACAAAGCUUCAUUACUGUUACCCAUCAGCCCCUGCCCACCAACUGGAGGUCAGGAGAGUACAGAGAGGCAAAAGUCACCUCCACCAGGAAAAGGUUGGAGGUGGUGGAGAGAGGUUCAGCAUGACAGAGUGUGCGCAUGUAUUGGCUGAGGAACACGCACUUUGUUGUAUGUUAGUGAUUGCUCAAUUUGUUUACACGGUAACUCAUUUCUGCUACUGCUCUUUGUUCUUCAGAGAAGAUAGACAACCCAGCAGAGCAGAUCUUUGUUCCUUAUGAGCUCAUCUGCUCCUGCAGCUUGUGCCACACCUGUAAUUAUAAUUAUGGCCCACUGCUUGGGUUGCUGUAAUCCUUUCUAGUGAAACCAAUUGUGAUUUCACCAACAGAGUUACUUAGCAAAGUGAGAAUGCCUGAAUUGAUAGAAUAAGCAUCAUUAGUCCCUUUUAUUGGUUAAUUUGGCUGCACUUAGCCUUCUAUUAAGAUUCAGAUGAUUAACAUUUUUCGGUAAUAUGGAAGCAUCCGUGCACUUUCGAUGGAACUGUGAAGUUAAUAGACUGUAACUGGGCCACUCUGGACAAGCGUAAUAAGCUGAUACCAAGAGAUAAAAGAAGUGGUGCAGCUGCACCUCAGCUAUUACGUUAAUGAAGGAGAGAGAAUCCAUGUGGAAUCGCUGGAAGGAAACUGCUAAGAGAUGGUGUGGGUAAAUCAUCACAUGCUGACUAUUUUGGCCACAUCUUUCUUAUGAGGCCAAGGAUCAUAAACCGAAAACCAACAAACAAAAGUGACUAAGAGAAUGACUAGUUUGCAUGACUAAUGGGAACAACUUAAGAGGAGCUAAAUAUAAACCAUCUGACUAUACAGACUGACUAAACCAGGGGGUAAACAGACCCAACACUCUACCUCCCAGAGGAGAGAACUGGAUUCCAGUCACUGCCACUAACUAAACAUAAUACAGGAAAUGGCAUUUAAAAGAAGAAACCAAUACUAGCCAUGCAUAACAAUUCAAAUUCCUGGUUCCCUUUCUCCGGUCCUGACAUAAGGAAAUCAUGCAGAAGAAGUCCGCUGGCCUAGGGACUGUGGCUCUUUAUCUCUCGGCUUGAUCAUAGAACAAAAUGUGAAGACAACAGUGAAUUUCCUGGUUCCCACCCCCUCAUCUCUGUUUUUCUAUAGUAAAGCUCACUGUCCAGCUCACCAAUACUUUCUACCUGGAAUGACUUCAAAGGAAAAUCUGCUAUGAUUUUCCUAUAUCCUGUCAUAAACUGUAGUUCGUGGUAAGGUGAACGUUUUGCCCACACAACUGGAGUUCGCGGAAGCAUUUUUCCGCUUCUUAUUACCAAACAAGAUGGAGUCAUACCCCGCAGAAAAGCCUUCUGCUGGGAGAAGCUUGCCUUUCAGUCCUGGCUGGUUUCUAACCUUUUAACAAGCUUUCCUGAAGAUGGCGCCACAUGCUCAGCUAUAUUACAACCUGCAUCCUCUCGUGAUCUCUUCUGAAAUCACCAAGUCCCCAAUAGCUACAGAGACUUACAGAAAGACCUGUAGGAAAUGCUACCUUGAAAUGACAUUCUUGUAUUAAAGUGUAAAGAUUAAUCUAAAUCACCCAAGGAAUAAUCUGAUCAGAUCAUCUCGAAAUUUUCAGUUAGGAGAGGGGAUUACACAAAAAAAAUACAGUAAAUGCUAUUUGAGUUAGAUCAAUGGCAGGUUCUGAAAGCCAAAGUCCGUCUCUGACCUUGCUUCUCCUUUGUUCCCUUUUUUCAGUCAAUGACACCAGCUAUUAAGUUGCCAGAGCCAGAAGCUUGAAUGACAUCUUUGAUCCUUCUCUCUACUUUAACUUCCCCACCGGCAGCCCCACAUCCAGUCAGUCACCCAGUCCUAUCUAUUCUAGUCUGUAAAUGUCUUUCAAGUGUGUCCACAUCUCUCCAUUCCCUCUGCUACUAGUGAGGUCCAAAAGUACACCACGUGCCCCCUGCACCACUGCAGGAGUGUGUCAGCCGUUUCCCCUUUAUUACAGCUCAUUCCUCUUAAUCUGCUCUCCACUCUACCUCUACAGUGAUCUUUUGAAAGACAGACCCAAUCAUGUAAUCGCCCUGUUUACAAUCUUCUGUGGCUCCCUAGUGCUCUCAUGUUAAGUCUGAAGUCUUACACAGCCUACAAUGCUUUUUAUAAUCUAGCUGCCUCUUCUUCAGAUUCAUUUUGCAACACCAUCCCACUUGUUCUUUUGCCAUUGUCAUAAUAGAUUCCUCUUCAAUUCCUGGUCUGUUCACCUCAGGGCUAUUUAUUCUUACUCCUGCUUGUGCCCCCAGCAACAGCUGCAACUCAUCCCCCCCAUACCCCAAGCCAUCACAACUUCCAUCCAUCUAACUCAUACUCCUCCAGUAGGUCUCAGCAUAAACAACCAAUUCCUCAUGGAAGAGACCCCUAGAGUACAUUAGGACCUGGAACUCUAUGAUUCCAUAACACCCUGUACUUUCCUAUUUUUUUUGUUGUUGUUGAGGAAGAUUGGCCCUGAGCUGGUAUCUGUUGCCCAUCUUCCUCUAUUUUAUAUGUGGGAUGCUGCCACAGUGUGGCUUGAUGAGAAGUGCUAGAUGCGUGUCUGGGAUCCAAACCCGUGAAGCUUGGGCUGCCGAAUGGAGUGCAGGAACUUAACCACUUGGCCACUGGGCCAGCCCCUCUACUUUCCUACUUUUAAUAGCCAUCUCACUUUAUCAUAAUUAUUCAUGUGUUUUUCCCCUGCUCAAUUGUAAGGUCUGUGAAACCAGGGACAGUGUCUGUCCUUAGGCAGUAUUCUUACAAUGACCUAUAAGGCCUUCCAUCACCUGCCUCCCUCACCUUACAUUUCUGCCCUUACCACCUGUGGUCCUCCCUCAUUUCUCUGCUUCAUCCUCCCUGCUUGUUCCUCUAACUUGCUUUCUCUAGCUUGGCCUCUUUGCUGCUCCUUUAACUUUCUAGGCAUGGUCCUGCCUCAAGGCCUUCACACUUGCUAUAUUCCUUCCACCUAGAAUGCACUUCCUUCUGGUUUCUGUGGGGCUCUCUCCCUCGCUUGCUGCAGAUUUUUAUUCAAAGGCCACAUUCUCAGUGGAGUCUUCUCUGACCAUCCAAUCUGUCACUCUAGCUGUGCCGCCCCCCCCCCCCCCCCCAUAUUACUAUCCCUCUGUCUGCUGUAUUUUUCCCCUUAGCUCUUGUCACUGUCUAAUAUACUUUCAUGGUUUGCUAUCCAGCUCCCUCCCCUAGCAUGUAAGCCCCACUAGGGCAGGACUUUUGUCUCUUUGGUUCAUUGCUGGGAUUCAUCCUGGGACUGUGCCUGGCACAAAGUCGUCACUGGAACUGUUCAUCCUAGUCCCACCCUGGUGACUUCAUAAAUAAAGCCUUUUCAUCUUUUUUGGUACUAAAUCGUUCUAAUUUAUGGGCAGGGAGAACAUUGUCUUCACCUGGAAGGUCUUCCCUCUUCCUGAUUGCUUUAGCUUCCUCUUUCUAGAACUAGUACGUCUUUUGAGGGGGAUGGAAAGAUCAGAACUAGAAAUAAAUCUUUCCCUGACAAUAUAAAAGCUUCAGUUUACCUUUGCUUUUAAGUUUCAGUUGUUUCCAAAUAAUAAAUGUCCUGAAAACUAAGAGAAGAUUUGGUGUGAGGCCAGAGCUAACAGUCUUGUUAAAAACGUCUCCACCUGGCCAGUCCCUGGGUCAUGGUCCCUUCUCUUUCUGUUAACCGAUGAGACACUCAGAGAAAAACUCUGAUUCCGUCAAGUCAAGGGGGCACUUUUUAUGUUGAAACCCACGGAUUUGCCUGGCUGUACAACUAGCCUGAUCAUUUGGGUAGAAAUGUGAGGUUUCUAAAGCCAAACCAGCUGUGCAGUUAGAAGAAGCCCAAUUUCCUGAGCAGGAAACAGCAAAGAAGAGUGGGGUUAAAUGAUUGCAAUGUGGGUAUACCGUCAUUUUGUAAAAUUCCAACACCUUGCAAUGAUGGACAACUCUAGAGAAAAACAACAUUCAGUCUUGCAAUAUGUAAGGCUGAUUCAUGGCUAAUGAUUUAUCACGGAUGUUUGAUUCAAAUUCCAUUUUCAGAGUUAGAAGAUGAGCAAACAGAUGCUCACCACCCUCUAAUUUCAAGGGAAUAUCAUAUUGCAACUGCAAUUAAGCACAGUUUCUAUAUGAACGUGUGAAAUAUUGUUACCGAGAAAACCGAGAUGAUCAUUUAUAAUACAAAAUAGAAGUGAAAAGAAAUACUUUAUACCAAAAUUUGAAUUUUUGACAGAAGAUACAGAUCCUAGUUAAUUAAAGCCAAAGGAAAGGAGAAAAUUUAACGCCAUAUUUGGUUGGGAGUGUAAGCACGAGAUUUGAAAAAGCAGCUCAUGCCAUUUUCUCAUUAUAAAGUAGCAAAAGACUUGCCAACAAAGAGGAAAUCAGCACCCUCAGGUUUUACAUCAGAGCAAGGACCAGCAUCGUGUUAUCCUACAACGGCAUUUCAAACAUCACCAUGCCAGAUGGGCUAUUACAAGAAAUGCAUAAAAUGUUCCAGAACAGUCAAUUUCUUUGUGUUUUGUAACUAGAUCUAACAUAAUAUAUUCUCCCUGAAAGAAAGUAUUCCUGGAUCAACCAACUCUCAGUUCUUGUGUCAUAUUCAGGGUCACUUUCAUUCACAGAAAGCCUCUGCAAAGUCCACAGGAAAGCUUGACCCUG